GCUUCUGUGGUGUAGUGGUAGCACCCGUCUCCGUGGUGGAUGAAACGCGGGUUCCAAUUCCCGCCUGAGGUC
This is a non-coding RNA of Parelaphostrongylus tenuis, 72 nucleotides long. Lineage: Eukaryota; Metazoa; Nematoda; Chromadorea; Rhabditida; Metastrongylidae. The record is from the annotation of a GenBank genome assembly.